Non-coding RNA from Pelobates cultripes (western spadefoot toad), 426 nucleotides. The record is from the annotation of a GenBank genome assembly. Lineage: Eukaryota; Metazoa; Chordata; Amphibia; Anura; Pelobatidae.
GCAUGCCAUUUGCAAUAGCAGACAACCCAAUGUAUUGCAAAUGGGGUAUGUCCAGUCUUUUUAGUAGCCACUUAGUUACAUACACUGGCCAAAAUUGGUGUUCAAAUUAGUUUUUUUGCAUUUUCACACACAAACAAAUAUUAACACUAACUUUGGCCAGUGUUUGUGACCAAGUGGCUACUAAAAAAGUAUAAAAUAGCUUCUUAACACACAAAGUGCAAGUGAAACAGGGUGUUCUAGGUGGCACUCCUUAUGUAUAUAUGUGCGACUUCCCCAGUGUCCAAAACCACUCUAAAAAUACAUAACAGUAAUAAAACAUACAAGAAAGAUAAGGGGCGCAAGAAAUAGGUGUGAUAAUAAAAGUAUUAACAAAUAUUAUACUUAUUCACACUUGUCCUUCACUAUAUCUGAGCUCCCCGUAAAUAU